RNAcentral lists this transfer RNA (67 nucleotides) under Marmota monax (woodchuck). Its description in RNAcentral is "tRNA.Thr". The record is from RNAcentral. Lineage: Eukaryota; Metazoa; Chordata; Mammalia; Rodentia; Sciuridae.
GGAUAUGGCUCAGUGGUAGAGAAGUUGCCUAGUAUGUACAAGGUCCUGGUUUCAAUCCCUAGUGCCA